RNAcentral lists this long non-coding RNA (701 nucleotides) under Mytilus galloprovincialis (Mediterranean mussel). Lineage: Eukaryota; Metazoa; Mollusca; Bivalvia; Mytilida; Mytilidae. The record is from RNAcentral.
UAAAGACAAAAUCCUAUGCCAUUAAUUAUUGGUUAUUAUUUUCCAUCUUAAAACUAGCAAUGAUGAUACAAUAUAUCAGCUCAAUAACUUGAAUUAAUUACAGCAAUAAUAACAAAUAGUGAGUUUUCAUACUUUUACAAAUAUCAGCCUCAUUUUAAAACAAUAUCUUUAUGCAACACUGCUGACAUUAUACAAGGGUCUGAUUGUUCUUCAUUUCUUUAUUCUUUCAACUUUUUAAAACUUUUUUUAAAACUUUUUUUAUUUAUUUUUACCCUGAUUCUGUAUUCUUUAUAUUUCAGCACCCCAUCAUUCUCUAUUCUUUACUUUUUGGUCUAUUUUCUCUCUAUUUAAUAUAUGUUUGCCUUGUAUUUUGCACCUUUUAUACUUUAUUCUUAUUCAGUAACACAUCCAAACCUACAUAUACCUAGACUGAUACACAUUUUCAGAGGUUCUAAUAUCUAUAAAACAUUCAAUGUAAAUAAAAAAUACUACAAGUGGACAUAAUAUUAUAAUUACAAUAACAUAAACAAUAACAAUUAUGGCAAUUUAUAAUUAACAAGGAAAAAGGUUAAAGCUCAGUUUACCGGUAUAAUCAUUGUUAUAAUUCUUUACAACAAAUAAUUUUGAGGUUGUGUUAAAUUUGUCCUAUCAGAGAUUUCCAUAGAAGGGAAGUGACAUAACUACUUUAUCUGAAAAAUCUA